CAGGUACAANCCGUCGCGAGACCGCAAGGUGGAGCUAAUCGGAUAAANCCUGUCUCAGUUCGGAUUGUCGGCUGCAACUCNCCGGCAUGAAGUUGGAAUCGCUAGUAAUCGCGGAUCAGCACGCCGCGGUGAAUACGUUCCCGGGCCUUGUACACACCGCCCGUCACAUCACGAAAGCUGGCUGUACUAGAAGUAGCAGCGCUAACCCGCAAGGGAGGCAUGUUCCUAAGGUAUGGUCAGUGAUUGGGGUGAAGUCGUAACUAGGUUNCC
RNAcentral lists this ribosomal RNA (270 nucleotides) under unidentified soil organism R6-70. RNAcentral describes it as "partial 16S ribosomal RNA". It matches the Rfam family "Bacterial small subunit ribosomal RNA", at positions 1234 to 1501 of the family's 1533-position model. The record is from RNAcentral.